ACGACGCUGGCGCGUAGCUUAACACAUGCAAGUCGAACGGUGAAGCACUUUUCUCUUGUGGGUGUGGAUGAGUGGCGAACGGGUGAGUAACACGUGAGUAACCUGCCCCUUCUUCUGGAUAACCGCAUGAAAGUGUGGCUAAUACGGGAUAUUCUGUGCCUGCUGCAUGGUGGGUGUGGGAAAGAUAUUGUUUUGGUGGGGGAUGGGGCUCGCGGCCUAUCAGCUUGUUGGUGGGGUGAUGGCCUACCAAGGCGGUGACGGGUAGCCGGCCUGAGAGGGUGGACGGUCACACUGGGACUGAGACACGGCCCAGACUCCUACGGGAGGCAGCAGUGGGGAAUAUUGCACAAUGGGCGCAAGCCUGAUGCAGCGACGCCGCGUGAGGGAUGGAGGCCUUCGGGUUGUAAACCUCUUUCGCCAGUGAAGCAGGCCUGUCCCUUGUGGGUGGGUUGAUGGUAGCUGGAUAAGAAGCGCCGGCUAACUACGUG
RNAcentral lists this ribosomal RNA (488 nucleotides) under uncultured Actinomyces sp. Its description in RNAcentral is "bacterial SSU rRNA". It matches the Rfam family "Bacterial small subunit ribosomal RNA", at positions 33 to 507 of the family's 1533-position model. Lineage: Bacteria; Bacillati; Actinomycetota; Actinomycetes; Actinomycetales; Actinomycetaceae. The record is from RNAcentral.